UAUCUUGUGAUAUAACAUUUUCUUAUAUCAAAACGAACACAAAAUAACAGGAAAUUAAAACUUUAUAAAAUUAAUACUCAACAUAAAUAUAAAAAAAGUAAAGAUAUGUGGAUCAAUUCAUAGCCAAUGAAGAAGGAAGGUGAAAAUAUAUGUUCAUGAUAUAUUCACCCUAGUGUUUCAUUUGAUUGAGAUCUCUUGCC
This 200-nucleotide long non-coding RNA is filed under the name Solanum tuberosum (potato). RNAcentral's name for it is "long non-coding RNA (STUB_LNC000870)". Lineage: Eukaryota; Viridiplantae; Streptophyta; Magnoliopsida; Solanales; Solanaceae. The record is from RNAcentral.